RNAcentral lists this long non-coding RNA (204 nucleotides) under Mytilus galloprovincialis (Mediterranean mussel). Lineage: Eukaryota; Metazoa; Mollusca; Bivalvia; Mytilida; Mytilidae. The record is from RNAcentral.
UCCCUUCUCUAUAUUUGUCCUCUUUACUCAUGGUAUUCUCUUACGUAUAUAAAUCCAAAUUACUGUUCUUUCACAUCAACAUAUUUAGCUUCACUCAAUGUGCCGUAGACACACAAUAGGUAUAUUCAACAACACUAUCAUAUCUCUGAACCAGUAUCGAUUUACAAUUAUAUACAAACAUAAUCAUUGGCACACUGAAUGUAU